AAUUUCUUAACCUGCAUGACCCAUUUACCAAAAGGCAUAAAAAUGUAUUUAGUACACCAUUUACCAUUUUCUAACAAUUACCAUAAAAUAAAUCUAGACUUUUCUUAAUAGGAAUACACCAUUUUAAAUGGGAUCACAAGAAAGAGUUUUGGCAAUAGAAUGUUUUCUGAUGUUGCAAUGGUUGGUGUGAAUAACAUAAAUAUCAAGAGUAUAUGGCUACUGAAGGGUGUUUGGUACGAGAAUGAUAUCGCUUAUGAAAAUACAAAAACUACCCUCAUCUCCAUCCACCAUUACUGUGCAGGUCACCUAACCCACCAUGUCUACUACCAAUUGUCAAGUAUUCUUCUAAAUAUACUUGAAACAUUACUGGAAACUUCAUCCACCUAUCAAAUGUAAAACUCAGAUAAAUAUUGAAUAAUUAAUUAAUAAGUUAAUUAUAAGUAAAAAUGGUUUAGAAUAAAAACUCGGACUCUUAUUUUAAAGAUUUUGGUUUAAGGUGGAGCCAACAGUUUAAAAUUGCAAAUGGACUCAUGUUGGGCUCAAACCUAUAAUAUAUAAACCCUUCACUUAACCCAUUUCAGCACACUCCCCCUUCAUUAACUCAUAUACAUUCAGCACAAAGAAGGAAGAGAAGAAGAUAGUGGUGCCCUAAAUAUUAUUAUUCAGCACUUCACUAAAAUCCACAUAACUUUCAAAUUGUAGCUCUGAUUGAUGACCCAUUUACGGCUACGCGUUCGUCUCGACUCCCUCUUCGAUUCUAUUUAAAUAUUGUGGGGAGGUUCAAUCUUGAGUUCUAAUGGAGUUUCAAUCCAAGGUUACGUGAGAUGAGAUGAAUUAUGAAUUGUUUGGCUUGAAUUUGGCACGGAGAAAAUUUGCUUGGCGUGGGACCGGUAUGGGAUUGAGUUGAGGAUCAUCAUUGGUGAGGAUUUUAGUAGGGCUUGGACAAGUUGGAGUUGGAAUUGCCGGAGAAAAGAUUUUCCAAGGUUGAGACUGCCGUCAAAGAAGAUAACAGGACGUGACGCAUCCUGCUAAGAGCGCGGGACUCGUUGGUGAAGUGAAGAAGACUUUAAUUUUAAAGUUUAUCUUGUACUUAACAUAUUUUUCCACUGUUAAACAUGUAUUUGUAUAUUUUUCUCUUAGAGGUUUUAUUUUGGAGAAACAUGAUGUAAUCUGCACUCUUUCGAUUUCUAUUAUGUUCUAGCCGGCCUUUUCUUUGUAAAUCGAGACUAUUACUAUUCAUGUAUCUAA
Arachis duranensis is the source of this 1248-nucleotide long non-coding RNA. RefSeq lists it as uncharacterized. NCBI's taxonomy places the organism in Eukaryota, Viridiplantae, Streptophyta, Magnoliopsida, Fabales, Fabaceae. The transcript is spliced from 4 exons. The record is from RefSeq and is a predicted model, not a curated record.